This 83-nucleotide transfer RNA is filed under the name Candidatus Similichlamydia laticola. It matches the Rfam family "tRNA". Rfam says of the family: Transfer RNA (tRNA) molecules are approximately 80 nucleotides in length. Their secondary structure includes four short double-helical elements and three loops (D, anti-codon, and T loops). The record is from Rfam by way of RNAcentral. Lineage: Bacteria; Pseudomonadati; Chlamydiota; Chlamydiia; Parachlamydiales; Candidatus Parilichlamydiaceae.
GUUCGGGUGGUGGAAUGGUAGACACGGAGGACUUAAAAUCCUUUGGACGUUUGUCCGUGUGAGUUCGAGUCUCACCCCGAGCA